Nycticebus coucang (slow loris) is the source of this 107-nucleotide small nuclear RNA. The record is from RefSeq and is a predicted model, not a curated record. Lineage: Eukaryota; Metazoa; Chordata; Mammalia; Primates; Lorisidae.
GUGCCUCCUUCGGCAGCACAUAUAUGAAAAUUAGAACGAGACAGAGAAGGUUACCAUGGCCCAUGCAUAAGGAUGACAUGCAAAUUCGUGAAGCAUUCCAUAUUUUA